ACAGUUUCACAACAGUAAUUCAACCUAGUACGAGAGGAACUGUUGAUUCUCACAAUUGGUCAUCGCGGUUGGUUGAAAAGCCAGUGGUGCGAAGCUACUGUGCGUUGGAUUAUGAUUGGAUGCCUCUAAGUCAAAAUCUAGGCUAGAAGCGAUGUGUGUGCCUGUCGUUUGUUUGCCGACCAGUAGUAGGAGGCUUUGCCCCCAGAGGCACGUGUCAUUGGUGAACCUCGUAAGGUGAAUAAGCCUUAUGAGACACCUUGAAGCACAAUUCCCAUCAAGCGACAGGUAGAAUCCUUUGUAGACGACUUAAAUACGCGACAGUGUAUUGUAAGUGGCAGAGUGCCUUGCUGCCAUGAUCCACUAAGAUUCAACCCUCGUCGUUUUGAUUA
Ribosomal RNA from Vigna angularis (adzuki bean), 389 nucleotides. It matches the Rfam family "Eukaryotic large subunit ribosomal RNA", at positions 3005 to 3399 of the family's 3401-position model. The record is from Rfam. Lineage: Eukaryota; Viridiplantae; Streptophyta; Magnoliopsida; Fabales; Fabaceae.